CAGCAGCCGCGGGAAUACGUAGGGCGCAAGCGUUAUCCGGAAUUAUUGGGCGUAAAGAGCUCGUAGGCGGUUUGUCGCGUCUGCCGUGAAAGUCCGGGGCUCAACCCCGGAUCUGCGGUGGGUACGGGCAGACUAGAGUGAUGUAGGGGAGACUGGAAUUCCUGGUGUAGCGGUGAAAUGCGCAGAUAUCAGGAGUAACACCGAUGGCGAAGGCAGGUCUCUGGGCAUUAACUGACGCUGAGGAGCGAAAGCAUGGGGAGCGAACAGGAUUAGAUACCCCAGUAGUCCCUGUCUCUUAUAC
This 301-nucleotide ribosomal RNA is filed under the name uncultured bacterium. RNAcentral's name for it is "partial 16S ribosomal RNA". It matches the Rfam family "Bacterial small subunit ribosomal RNA", at positions 509 to 807 of the family's 1533-position model. The record is from RNAcentral.